Molecule: ribosomal RNA, 520 nt
Filed under: Bacillus sp. MU2A-35
Lineage: Bacteria; Bacillati; Bacillota; Bacilli; Caryophanales; Bacillaceae
Also listed under: 1 other name
Description: bacterial SSU rRNA
Rfam family: Bacterial small subunit ribosomal RNA
Source: RNAcentral
AAGCACUCCGCCUGGGGAGUACGGUCGCAAGACUGAAACUCAAAGGAAUUGACGGGGGCCCGCACAAGUGGUGGAGCAUGUGGUUUAAUUCGAAGCAACGCGAAGAACCUUACCAGGUCUUGACAUCCUCUGACAACCCUAGAGAUAGGGCGUUCCCUUCGGGGACAGAGUGACAGGUGGUGCAUGGUUGUCGUCAGCUCGUGUCGUGAGAUGUUGGGUUAAGUCCCGCAACGAGCGCAACCCUUGAUCUUAGUUGCCAGCAUUCAGUUGGGCACUCUAAGGUGACUGCCGGUGACAAACCGGAGGAAGGUGGGGAUGACGUCAAAUCAUCAUGCCCCUUAUGACCUGGGCUACACACGUGCUACAAUGGAUAGUACAAAGGGUUGCAAGACCGCGAGGUGGAGCUAAUCCCAUAAAACUAUUCUCAGUUCGGAUUGUAGGCUGCAACUCGCCUACAUGAAGCCGGAAUCACUAGUAAUCGCGGAUCAGCAUGCCGCGGUGAAUACGUUCCCGGGCCUUG